UACCAGCACCCCGAGUGGUCGGGACGUUUAUUGGGCCUAAGCAUCCGUAGCCGGUUCUACAAGUCUUCCGUUAAAUCCACCUGCUUAACAGAUGGGCUGCGGAAGAUACUAUAGAGCUAGGAGGCGGGAGAGGCAAGCGGUACUCGAUGGGUAGGGGUAAAAUCCGUUGAUCCAUUGAAGACCACCAGUGGCGAAGGCGGCUUGCCAGAACGCGCUCGACGGUGAGGGAUGAAAGCUGGGGGAGCAAACAGG
Molecule: ribosomal RNA, 252 nt
Filed under: uncultured bacterium
Lineage: Bacteria
Description: partial 16S ribosomal RNA
Rfam family: Archaeal small subunit ribosomal RNA
Source: RNAcentral